AGUGAACGCUGGCGGUAGGCCUAACACAUGCAAGUCGAACGGCAGCACAGUAAGAGCUUGCUCUUACGGGUGGCGAGUGGCGGACGGGUGAGGAAUACAUCGGAAUCUACUUUUUCGUGGGGGAUAACGUAGGGAAACUUACGCUAAUACCGCAUACGCCCUACGGGUGAAAGCAGGGGAUCUUCGGACCUUGCGCGAUUGAAUGAGCCGAUGUCGGAUUAGCUAGUUGGCGGGGUAAAGGCCCACCAAGGCGACGAUCCGUAGCUGGUCUGAGAGGAUGAUCAGCCACACUGGAACUGAGACACGGUCCAGACUCCUACGGGAGGCAGCAGUGGGGAAUAUUGGACAAUGGGCGCAAGCCUGAUCCAGCCAGACCGCGUGUGUGAAGAAGGCCUUCGGGUUGUAAAGCCCUUUUGUUGGGAAAGAAAAGCAGCAGGUUAAUACCCCGCUGUUCUGACGGUACCCAAAGAAUAAGCACCGGCUAACUUCGUG
Molecule: ribosomal RNA, 492 nt
Filed under: uncultured bacterium
Lineage: Bacteria
Description: partial 16S ribosomal RNA
Rfam family: Bacterial small subunit ribosomal RNA
Source: RNAcentral